RNAcentral lists this ribosomal RNA (253 nucleotides) under uncultured bacterium. RNAcentral describes it as "partial 16S ribosomal RNA". It matches the Rfam family "Bacterial small subunit ribosomal RNA", at positions 524 to 776 of the family's 1533-position model. The record is from RNAcentral.
UACGUAGGGUGCAAGCGUUGUCCGGAAUUAUUGGGCGUAAAGAGCUCGUAGGCGGUUUGUCGCGUCUGCUGUGAAAACUCGGGGCUUAACUCCGGGCCUGCAGUGGGUACGGGCAGACUAGAGUGCGGUAGGGGAGACUGGAAUUCCUGGUGUAGCGGUGAAAUGCGCAGAUAUCUGGAGGAACACCGGUGGCGAAGGCGCACAUCUGGCCCGAUACUGACGCUGAGGCGCGAAAGCUAGGGGAGCAAACGGG